Molecule: long non-coding RNA, 1288 nt
Filed under: Nicotiana tabacum (common tobacco)
Lineage: Eukaryota; Viridiplantae; Streptophyta; Magnoliopsida; Solanales; Solanaceae
Description: long non-coding RNA (NTAB_LNC017892)
Source: RNAcentral
UAAGUUCCGUCUUGUCCUACCAAUAACUUUAGUUUAAUAGUACUAUCUUUUUGGCUCAAAUUUUUUAUUUUUAGUGAUGGUAAACUGCUUAUUUGGAUGUAAAUAUCUUAUUUCUUGAUUUACUUUUUGGUCUUGAAAAAGUAAAGUUGAUCAUGCUAGGUGUGUGGUGUUUUGUUUGGUUUGUCAGAGCAAGUGCUUUAAUUUGAUGUAGCUUUCUCAUUGAUAAUAUGUUAUGAAUUGCGCUAAAGUAGUGAUAUUCACGUGGAUGAGUUACUGUACACCUGGGCAGUGAUUUGUCAUUGUUAGAGUUAAGUUAGGUGCCCCUGAAUCUUGAUGCUUUCACUAUGUGGGCUUUAGUCAUUUUGUACUUUAAAGGGUUCAAAUUUUGCUCUUUUCUCAUAUUUGGUGGAAGCAUAUCUGAGUUUUUCUAAGUGAAUAAUUAUUAACCUUAAUGUUUGGCCUUAUAGGCUUAAAUAAUAGAGUAAAUUGGUAUGGUACAUGCAUAAUACACUUACACUUUUGUCUUAAGAACACUGGUAUUUUUGUGUUAUAUUCAACUUUGCUUUUAUCAAAGUAAUUGGCCAGUCAUGACGAAUUUUUUCAAGGGUCUUCAAACUUGAAGGAAGUGAAAAAAAUUCUCCAGACUUCAAUAUAUGUUAUAUAGUAUAUAACUAGUGUAUCAAGUUCAAAGUUAAUAUAUGAGGAAUCAUAUACAAGCAAAGUUUUAAAUUAUGUGGUGUCCUCUUCCUAUUUGGCAGAUUCUUAACUUUUGUUAUGACAGAUUUUGGCACCUCUUCCUAUUGGAUUCGCGGUGUUCUUGGUUCAUUUGGCCACCAUCCCAAUCACCGGAACCGGUAUCAACCCCGCCCGGAGCCUUGGAGCUGCUAUCAUCUUCAACCAAGACCGGGCAUGGGAUGAUCACGUAAGUCUUCCAGUAAAAUACUUUCAAUACAAAAAUGACUUCGGUCAUACCAAACAUGCUUACGCCUUUGAGUAAAAUAAGUCUCUCACUAAAAUAUUUUUCGUAGAGAAUGACUUCCGCCAUACCAAACAUACUUAUGCCUUUGACAUUACUGUUGCACUGAAAUUGUAUUAUACCUAACUAAGCUGUUGUUUUUUUCCUAUUAUAUUUCAGUGGAUCUUCUGGGUUGGACCAUUCAUUGGAGCUGCACUUGCUGCAGUUUACCACCAGAUAAUCAUCAGAGCCAUUCCAUUCAAGAGCAAAUCUUAAUUAUCUUGAAGAGUCUCAUGUCCUAUGUCUCUUCCCCUGUUAUAUUUCAAGACUCCU